RNAcentral lists this ribosomal RNA (253 nucleotides) under uncultured bacterium. RNAcentral's name for it is "partial 16S ribosomal RNA". It matches the Rfam family "Bacterial small subunit ribosomal RNA", at positions 524 to 776 of the family's 1533-position model. The record is from RNAcentral.
UACGAAGGUGGCAAGCGUUAUUCGGAUUUACUGGGCGUACAGGGAGCGUAGGCGGUUCGGUAAGCCGUCUGUGAAAUCUUCAGGCUUAACCUGGAAAAGUCGGGGGGGACUGCUGGGCUAGAGGACGGGAGAGGAGCGCGGAAUUCCCGGUGUAGCGGUGAAAUGCGUAGAUAUCGGGAGGGACACCUGUGGCGAAAGCGGCGCUCUGGACCACAUCUGACGCUGAGGCGCGAAAGCUAGGGGAGCAAACAGG